UAAUACAGAGGGUGCGAGCGUUAAUCGGAAUUACUGGGCGUAAAGCGCACGUAGGCGGUUGGGUAAGUCGGAUGUGAAAGCCCUGGGCUCAACCUGGGAACUGCAUUCGAUACUGCCCGGCUGGAGUAUGGGAGAGGGAAGCGGAAUUUCCGGUGUAGCGGUGAAAUGCGUAGAUAUCGGAAGGAACACCAAUGGCGAAGGCAGCUUCCUGGCCCAAUACUGACGCUGAGGUGCGAAAGCGUGGGGAGCAAACAGG
Molecule: ribosomal RNA, 256 nt
Filed under: uncultured archaeon
Lineage: Archaea
Description: partial 16S ribosomal RNA
Rfam family: Bacterial small subunit ribosomal RNA
Source: RNAcentral